This 1517-nucleotide long non-coding RNA is filed under the name Cricetulus griseus (Chinese hamster). RNAcentral's name for it is "lncRNA (ENSCGRG00015041881.1)". Lineage: Eukaryota; Metazoa; Chordata; Mammalia; Rodentia; Cricetidae. The record is from RNAcentral.
CCUGUUAUAAUUUCCCUCUCAAGCCUACUCCAGCAUCAGGGUGACACAGGGUGACAUGUCCUGUAACCUGCCCUCAUUCCACAGGGGUGAAAAGAGAGAUGAUAACAAGGUUAAAAACUGUGGAGAGCUGAUGGUAGCACCUACUCAUCCAGAGCCAAAGAAGGCUGCCUGACAGUGGUAACACCCAGUCUCUUCAAAGACAAACCAGAGCUGAAGAGAGGGAGGGUGCCUACAGGAAGGAUACAAGAGCAGCCAUGACAGGGGUGUUGGGAGACCCCUGCUGGGCACAUCCACAUCCACAUCCCAGGAACAAGGUUGUAGGUAUGUUUGGUCAGUAACAUCCUGCCUGUACCUGCCCUGUCCUAUGCUCUCCUGCUCACACAUGAUGGUGACCAUACUUCCAGGAGGCCUUUGGCUGUCCCAUGACCCCAAGUAAAAAGCCCCACUUCUCUGGGAUUGUCUCUGCUACCUCUAGCAGGAUACAACAACACCAUCUGCACAGGGGUGUGGCAUACCUGAGACAGUACCCGUAAAGUGCUGUGUGUGGCACUGCAAGAGUCUGGCUGCUUGAUGAAGGAGUCUGAAACACCAGCAGUGAAGAGCACAAGAGAACCCUGCUUCUCUACUGUCUCAGGUCAUCUGGAAUGUACUGAUCCAUCCAUGAGCUCCAGCCCCCUUACUGUACACAUAUUACCCAUAUGCAUGCAAAUUUAUGUUUUAAAAUCCAAAUACAUGUAGACCUCAUGAAAACUGUAUCUGAAAGGUACCAUCAGUAUCCAUAAUGAUUAAUUCCAAGAGGAGCAACAGAGGCCCAGAAAGGUGAGCUGGCUAAUAGCCUCCUAGCUGGAACUAUUGAAGCUGGGAUUUUAAUCCAAACAGUACGGCUUUGCACAGGAAGUCCAUCCAAACCCUCAGACUACAUACAGGAAAGCAGGUGGGCCCAGAGAGGGUGAGUGAACCACCUUAGACCUUGCAGCAACUCGGGAGUGCCUCCCGAUGCCCUGUGUUAGAACCUGCAGUUCAUCCUGAUGGCUACAAGGCCAGCAGGCAAAGUGCCUGGACCUUUGCAAAGAAGCUCUGGUGAAGCAUGUUCAUCCCUCUGCUCUGGGAGCAGCUUUGCUCUCAGACCCCCCUCACACCGCAUCCCCUGCCCCCUCAGGCAGCACCAAGCAUUCUUGGGACACCUGCAGGGAGUGAUACCAUCUGUGUCUGGGGCACAAUUGGACAAGACUCUUGACAGCUGACAGCCAGGCCCAGCACGUGGUCCAGGACAUCCCACUCCUGGCUGUCUGAUGGAACAGGAGCUCACAAGAAGUGCUGUAGAAGAGCAACAGCCCAGGAGAGGAAGUGCUGUGAACUCUGUCUUCUUCAACCAUGAGCUCCUAGUAGCUGUGGGUAUGGUAACAAGACCGGUACAAGAUGGAGGCUAUCACAUUCCAUUAUAGAUAGGGGAGGGGUUCAUGAAGCCCUACCCUUAGCUGGGGAGCUCUUGAUAAUUAAUAGCCACUAGGAAGGGG